RNAcentral lists this ribosomal RNA (629 nucleotides) under uncultured Bacteroidales bacterium. RNAcentral describes it as "bacterial SSU rRNA". It matches the Rfam family "Bacterial small subunit ribosomal RNA", at positions 87 to 714 of the family's 1533-position model. The record is from RNAcentral. Lineage: Bacteria; Pseudomonadati; Bacteroidota; Bacteroidia; Bacteroidales.
GGCGUCGACCGGCGCACGGGUGAGUAACGCGUAUCCAACCUGCCCAUCACUUGGGGAUAACCUUGCGAAAGUAAGACUAAUACCCAAUGACGUCUCUAGAAGACAUCUGAAAGAGAUUAAAGAUUUAUCGGUGAUGGAUGGGGAUGCGUCUGAUUAGCUUGUUGGCGGGGUAACGGCCCACCAAGGCGACGAUCAGUAGGGGUUCUGAGAGGAAGGUCCCCCACAUUGGAACUGAGACACGGUCCAAACUCCUACGGGAGGCAGCAGUGAGGAAUAUUGGUCAAUGGACGAGAGUCUGAACCAGCCAAGUAGCGUGCAGGAUGACGGCCCUAUGGGUUGUAAACUGCUUUUAUAAGGGAAUAAAGUGAGUCUCGUGAGAUUUUUUGCAUGUACCUUAUGAAUAAGGACCGGCUAAUUCCGUGCCAGCAGCCGCGGUAAUACGGAAGGUCCGGGCGUUAUCCGGAUUUAUUGGGUUUAAAGGGAGCGUAGGCCGGAGAUUAAGCGUGUUGUGAAAUGUAGACGCUCAACGUCUGCACUGCAGCGCGAACUGGUUUCCUUGAGUACGCACAAAGUGGGCGGAAUUCGUGGUGUAGCGGUGAAAUGCUUAGAUAUCACGAAGAACUCCGAUU